This 2923-nucleotide ribosomal RNA is filed under the name Klebsiella pneumoniae. RNAcentral describes it as "23S ribosomal RNA". It matches the Rfam family "Bacterial large subunit ribosomal RNA". Lineage: Bacteria; Pseudomonadati; Pseudomonadota; Gammaproteobacteria; Enterobacterales; Enterobacteriaceae. The record is from RNAcentral.
GGGUUGUGAGGUUAAGCGACUAAGCGUACACGGUGGAUGCCCUGGCAGUCAGAGGCGAUGAAGGACGUGCUAAUCUGCGAAAAGCGUCGGUAAGGUGAUAUGAACCGUUACAGCCGGCGAUGUCCGAAUGGGGAAACCCAGUGUGAUUCGUCACACUAUCGUUAACUGAAUACAUAGGUUAACGAGGCGAACCGGGGGAACUGAAACAUCUAAGUACCCCGAGGAAAAGAAAUCAACCGAGAUUCCCCCAGUAGCGGCGAGCGAACGGGGAGCAGCCCAGAGUCUGAAUCAGCUUGUGUGUUAGUGGAACGGUCUGGAAAGUCCGACGGUACAGGGUGAUAGUCCCGUACACCAAAAUGCACAGGUUGUGAACUCGAAGAGUAGGGCGGGACACGUGGUAUCCUGUCUGAAUAUGGGGGGACCAUCCUCCAAGGCUAAAUACUCCUGACUGACCGAUAGUGAACCAGUACCGUGAGGGAAAGGCGAAAAGAACCCCGGCGAGGGGAGUGAAAAAGAACCUGAAACCGUGUACGUACAAGCAGUGGGAGCACCUUCGGGUGUGACUGCGUACCUUUUGUAUAAUGGGUCAGCGACUUAUAUUCUGUAGCAAGGUUAACCGUAUAGGGGAGCCGCAGGGAAACCGAGUCUUAACUGGGCGUUAAGUUGCAGGGUAUAGACCCGAAACCCGGUGAUCUAGCCAUGGGCAGGUUGAAGGUUGGGUAACACUAACUGGAGGACCGAACCGACUAAUGUUGAAAAAUUAGCGGAUGACUUGUGGCUGGGGGUGAAAGGCCAAUCAAACCGGGAGAUAGCUGGUUCUCCCCGAAAGCUAUUUAGGUAGCGCCUCGUGAAUUCAUCUUCGGGGGUAGAGCACUGUUUCGGCUAGGGGGUCAUCCCGACUUACCAACCCGAUGCAAACUACGAAUACCGAAGAAUGUUAUCACGGGAGACACACGGCGGGUGCUAACGUCCGUCGUGAAGAGGGAAACAACCCAGACCGCCAGCUAAGGUCCCAAAGUCAUGGUUAAGUGGGAAACGAUGUGGGAAGGCACAGACAGCCAGGAUGUUGGCUUAGAAGCAGCCAUCAUUUAAAGAAAGCGUAAUAGCUCACUGGUCGAGUCGGCCUGCGCGGAAGAUGUAACGGGGCUAAACCAUGCACCGAAGCUGCGGCAGCGACACGAUGUGUUGUUGGGUAGGGGAGCGUUCUGUAAGCCUGCGAAGGUGACCUGUGAGGGUUGCUGGAGGUAUCAGAAGUGCGAAUGCUGACAUAAGUAACGAUAAAGCGGGUGAAAAGCCCGCUCGCCGGAAGACCAAGGGUUCCUGUCCAACGUUAAUCGGGGCAGGGUGAGUCGACCCCUAAGGCGAGGCCGAAAGGCGUAGUCGAUGGGAAACAGGUUAAUAUUCCUGUACUUGGUGUUACUGCGAAGGGGGGACGGAGAAGGCUAUGUUAGCCGGGCGACGGUUGUCCCGGUUUAAGCAUGUAGGCUGAUUGUCCAGGCAAAUCCGGAUAAUCAAGGCUGAGGUGUGAUGACGAGGCACUACGGUGCUGAAGUAACAAAUGCCCUGCUUCCAGGAAAAGCCUCUAAGCAUCAGGUAACAUUAAAUCGUACCCCAAACCGACACAGGUGGUCAGGUAGAGAAUACCAAGGCGCUUGAGAGAACUCGGGUGAAGGAACUAGGCAAAAUGGUGCCGUAACUUCGGGAGAAGGCACGCUGGUGUGUAGGUGAAGCCCCUGCGGGUGGAGCUGAGACCAGUCGAAGAUACCAGCUGGCUGCAACUGUUUAUUAAAAACACAGCACUGUGCAAACACGAAAGUGGACGUAUACGGUGUGACGCCUGCCCGGUGCCGGAAGGUUAAUUGAUGGGGUUAUCCGUAAGGAGAAGCUCUUGAUCGAAGCCCCGGUAAACGGCGGCCGUAACUAUAACGGUCCUAAGGUAGCGAAAUUCCUUGUCGGGUAAGUUCCGACCUGCACGAAUGGCGUAAUGAUGGCCAGGCUGUCUCCACCCGAGACUCAGUGAAAUUGAACUCGCUGUGAAGAUGCAGUGUACCCGCGGCAAGACGGAAAGACCCCGUGAACCUUUACUAUAGCUUGACACUGAACAUUGAGCCUUGAUGUGUAGGAUAGGUGGGAGGCUUUGAAGCGUGGACGCCAGUCUGCGUGGAGCCAACCUUGAAAUACCACCCUUUAAUGUUUGAUGUUCUAACGUUGGCCCCUGACCGGGGUUGCGGACAGUGUCUGGUGGGUAGUUUGACUGGGGCGGUCUCCUCCCAAAGCGUAACGGAGGAGCACGAAGGUUAGCUAAUCCUGGUCGGACAUCAGGAGGUUAGUGCAAUGGCAUAAGCUAGCUUGACUGCGAGCGUGACGGCGCGAGCAGGUGCGAAAGCAGGUCAUAGUGAUCCGGUGGUUCUGAAUGGAAGGGCCAUCGCUCAACGGAUAAAAGGUACUCCGGGGAUAACAGGCUGAUACCGCCCAAGAGUUCAUAUCGACGGCGGUGUUUGGCACCUCGAUGUCGGCUCAUCACAUCCUGGGGCUGAAGUAGGUCCCAAGGGUAUGGCUGUUCGCCAUUUAAAGUGGUACGCGAGCUGGGUUUAGAACGUCGUGAGACAGUUCGGUCCCUAUCUGCCGUGGGCGCUGGAGAAUUGAGGGGGGCUGCUCCUAGUACGAGAGGACCGGAGUGGACGCAUCACUGGUGUUCGGGUUGUCAUGCCAAUGGCACUGCCCGGUAGCUAAAUGCGGAAGAGAUAAGUGCUGAAAGCAUCUAAGCACGAAACUUGCCCCGAGAUGAGUUCUCCCUGAGACUUUAAGUCUCCUGAAGGAACGUUGAAGACGACGACGUUGAUAGGCCGGGUGUGUAAGCGCAGCGAUGCGUUGAGCUAACCGGUACUAAUGAACCGUGAGGCUUAACCUUACAACGCCGAAG